CCCAUAAAUGGUGCGGCCCGGGGGGGGGGGAGGGGAAAGGAGCGGCCGCGACCAUCGGAGCAGCAUGGCCCGGGCCCCCCGCGGCCGGAUGGGGGCGCUGCUGCUGCUGCUGCUGCUGCUGCUGAGCGCGGGUGGGCUCGGCCGCCGGGAACCUCCUGGGGGGGCUGGACCUGCCCUCGGCGCCGCAGCGCAUCCGGACGGCGUACGAGCAGAGCGUGACGGCCGCGGUCACCUACAGCGGGAUCCUGACGGACCAACUCUACCACUGGUGGCAGGGGGAGCAGUGACCCCAAAAAUGACCCAAAAUCACCCCAAAAAUGACCCCAAAAAUGACCCCAAAAAUGACCCCGAAAUUUGGGGGAACCCAAAAUUUGGGGAAAUCCAAAAUAAAGGCUCUGGAAUGGAAAAAAAUGGGAAAAAAUGGGUGGAAAAUGAAAAAAAAAUGGGUGGAAAAUGAAAAAAUUGGGGAGGGGGGAAAUGAAAAAAAAAUGGGGGAAAAAGGAAAAAAUGGGUGGAAAAUGGAAAAAAUGGGUGAAAAAGACCAAAAAAUGGGGGUGAAAAACAGCAAAAAAAUGGGGGUGAAAAAUGAAAAAUAAUGAUGAAAAGUAGCCCAAAAAUGGAGGGGGAAAAAGGGAAAAAUGGGGGUGGAAAAUGAAAAAAAAUGGGUGGAAAAAUGAAAAAAACGGGUGGAAAAUGAAAAAAACAGGGUAAAAAAAUGAAAAAAAUGGGGUGAAAAAGGAAAAAAAAAUGAGGAAAAUGAGCUCAAAAAUGGAGGUGAAAAAAGGGGGAAAUGGGUUUGAGAAAUGGAAAAAAAUGGGGUGGAAAAUGAAAAAAUGGGGUGAAAAAGGAAAAAAAUGGGUGGAAAAUUAAAAAAAUGGG
This 879-nucleotide long non-coding RNA is filed under the name Taeniopygia guttata (zebra finch). Its description in RNAcentral is "lncRNA (ENSTGUG00000025784.1)". The record is from RNAcentral. Lineage: Eukaryota; Metazoa; Chordata; Aves; Passeriformes; Estrildidae.